GUCAGCUCAUCUCUGCAGGGCCGUUGCUGCCGCUGCUAGAACAGUAUGCAGGCGUAGGUUCUUAUGACCAGAACACUCUUAGGGGGGCCCCGUGGCAAGUGCAGUCACAAGGCGCUAACGCUGACAAAUGUACGGGCAGCCAACUCCAACUAGCUAGUAUGGCUAAUCAAGAGCCUUCGUGCAGCACGUGGAAUCGGGCAGCACCCAUGUACCUGCCAUCGACGUCGUACACAGGUUAUUACGCUGGCGGUGAUCCGGCAAACGUCUCCUGGCAAGCUUCGCAAAUUCCUGGUGGAUCACGUCAUUAUGGUGUAACAAACCACACAUGAUGGUCAAAUACAGCACAACAAGAACCUACAACUACAAUGCACAGCGGCGCCGACACAUCUACUGCGGGGAGCUCUGAGCGCACGGAAGAUGCGUUCCACCAGACAGCAGACAAACAUGCCGCAAACAAUUUCGAGU
This is a non-coding RNA of Triticum urartu, 465 nucleotides long. The record is from RefSeq and is a predicted model, not a curated record. NCBI's taxonomy places the organism in Eukaryota, Viridiplantae, Streptophyta, Magnoliopsida, Poales, Poaceae.